ACGGGUGAGUAACACGUGGGUGAUCUGCCUCGCACUUCGGGAUAAGCCUGGGAAACUGGGUCUAAUACCGGAUAUGACCUUUCAGUGCAUGCUGUUGGGUGGAAAGAUUUAUCGGUGCGAGAUGGGCCCGCGGCCUAUCAGCUUGUUGGCGGGGUAACGGCCCACCAAGGCGACGACGGGUAGCCGACCUGAGAGGGUGACCGGCCACACUGGGACUGAGACACGGCCCAGACUCCUACGGGAGGCAGCAGUGGGGAAUAUUGCACAAUGGGCGGAAGCCUGAUGCAGCGACGCCGCGUGAGGGAUGACGGCCUUCGGGUUGUAAACCUCUUUCGACAGGGACGAAGCGCAAGUGACGGUACCUGUAGAAGAAGCACCGGCCAACUACGUGCCAGCAGCCGCGGUAAUACGUAGGGUGCGAGCGUUGUCCGGAAUUACUGGGCGUAAAGAGCUUGUAGGCGGUUUGUCGCGUCGUCCGUGAAAACUUGGGGCUCAACCCCAAGGCUUGCCGGCGAAAC
This 518-nucleotide ribosomal RNA is filed under the name uncultured Nocardia sp. Its description in RNAcentral is "bacterial SSU rRNA". It matches the Rfam family "Bacterial small subunit ribosomal RNA", at positions 102 to 633 of the family's 1533-position model. The record is from RNAcentral. Lineage: Bacteria; Bacillati; Actinomycetota; Actinomycetes; Mycobacteriales; Nocardiaceae.